Long non-coding RNA from Lolium rigidum, 192 nucleotides. RefSeq lists it as uncharacterized. Lineage: Eukaryota; Viridiplantae; Streptophyta; Magnoliopsida; Poales; Poaceae. The record is from RefSeq and is a predicted model, not a curated record. The transcript has 3 exons.
UAGCACUCUCAGGAGGUUACAUAGAUGCUGAGGACCAUGUAGAAUGGUUACCGGAAGGUGGUGGUUUCGGUACUGGUGGCCGUCAUUACAUGUGUUGUAGCCAAAUCAAGAUGAAGUACGACUCCGUGCAUGGCCACUGGAUGCACAACGACUGGUGCCGACUACAUUGCUAAGUUUCUAGGUGCUCACUUG